GGCCCUGGAAGCUGAAGAGCCUGCCCAGUGGGUGAGGACACGGUGCACCUGGGGUGCCGAGGAUGGCUGGGACGCUGCUACCCUUCCCUUGAGAGAAAUCUGGACACAGACGUAGACAGACGGAGAACAGCACAUGAUGAUGUGACAGAGCUUGGGGCGACGCAUCUACAAGCCGGGGACCCCACGAUUGCCACCACCAGAAGCUGGAGACACUCCUGGAACGGAAUUUCCCUCAGGGCCUCCAGAAGGAGGCAACCCUGUCCAUACCUUGACUUUGGACUUGUAGCUUACAGAACAGUAAUAGAAUAAAUUUCUGUUGUCUACUGUUUGUGUUAACUUGUUCCAGCAGCCCUAAGAAACGAAUACACUGUUAUUUCAACGCAGCAAAGCGAGCGCGGUUCUGGG
This 405-nucleotide long non-coding RNA is filed under the name Homo sapiens (human). RNAcentral's name for it is "HSALNT0001746". The record is from RNAcentral. Lineage: Eukaryota; Metazoa; Chordata; Mammalia; Primates; Hominidae.